RNAcentral lists this ribosomal RNA (445 nucleotides) under uncultured bacterium. Its description in RNAcentral is "partial 16S ribosomal RNA". It matches the Rfam family "Bacterial small subunit ribosomal RNA", at positions 354 to 796 of the family's 1533-position model. The record is from RNAcentral.
GUAGGGAAUAUUGGGCAAUGGAUGCAAGUCUGACCCAGCCAUCCCGCGUGCCGGAAGAAGGCCCUCAGGGUUGUAAACGGCUUUUGACGGUGAAGAAUCGACAGGAUGCGUCCUGUUUUGACGGUAGCCGUUGAAUAAGCACCGGCUAACUCCGUGCCAGCAGCCGCGGUAAUACGGAGGGUGCGAGCGUUGUCCGGAUUUAUUGGGUUUAAAGGGUGCGUAGGCUGGAAGGUCAGUCAGCGGUGAAAAGCUGUCGCUUAACGAUAGUCUUGGCGCAGAUACUUCCUUUCUUGGAUGAGGAGGAGGCCACUGGAACGGAUGGUGUAGCGGUGAAAUGCAUAGAUAUCAUCCAGAACACCGAUUGCGAAGGCAGGUGGCUGUACCUUAAUCGACGCUGAUGCACGAAAGCAUGGGGAGCAAACAGGAUUAGAAACCCCAGUAGUCC